UUCCAUCUGAGAUAACUCAGUCAGUAGAGCAUGAGACUCUUAAUUUCAGGGUUGUGAGUUCAAUCCCUGCAUUAGGAAA
This is a non-coding RNA of Podarcis lilfordi (Lilford's wall lizard), 79 nucleotides long. NCBI's taxonomy places the organism in Eukaryota, Metazoa, Chordata, Lepidosauria, Squamata, Lacertidae. The record is from the annotation of a GenBank genome assembly.